Molecule: RNase P RNA, 377 nt
Filed under: Deltaproteobacteria bacterium
Lineage: Bacteria; Pseudomonadati; Myxococcota; Myxococcia
Description: RNase P RNA component class A
Rfam family: Bacterial RNase P class A
About the family: Ribonuclease P (RNase P) is a ubiquitous endoribonuclease, found in archaea, bacteria and eukarya as well as chloroplasts and mitochondria. Its best characterised activity is the generation of mature 5'-ends of tRNAs by cleaving the 5'-leader elements of precursor-tRNAs.
Source: RNAcentral
AGAGCAGUCCAAACGAUCGCCGGGCAAACGAAAUCCGGAGGAAAGUCCGAACACCACAGGGCAGGGUGCUCCAUAACGUGGAGUCGCGGAAACGCGAAGGCCAGUGCAACAGAAAGUAUACCGCCUGCCGGGUCAGCCCGGCCGGUAAGGGUGAAACGGUGCGGUAAGAGCGCACCAGUUCCCCGGGUGACCGGGGAAGCUUUGUAAACCCCACCCGGUGCAAGACCAAAUAGGGAAGCGAUUGAGGAUGGCCCGUCCAAGCUUCCGGGUAGGUCGCAAGAGAUGUCGGGCAACCGGCAUCCAGAGAUGAAUGAUCGUUACCCGGCCCGGGGUAACCCGGCCCGGGCACAGAAUUCGGCUUACGGGCUGCUCUGACC